RNAcentral lists this ribosomal RNA (467 nucleotides) under uncultured bacterium. RNAcentral describes it as "partial 16S ribosomal RNA". It matches the Rfam family "Bacterial small subunit ribosomal RNA", at positions 29 to 507 of the family's 1533-position model. The record is from RNAcentral.
ACGAACGCUGGCGGCGUGCUUAACACAUGCCAGUCGAACGGAAAGGCCCUGCUUUUGUGGGGUGCUCGAGUGGCGAACGGGUGAGUAACACGUGAGUAACCUGCCCUUGACUUUGGGAUAACUUCAGGAAACUGGGGCUAAUACCGGAUAGGAGCUCCUGCUGCAUGGUGGGGGUUGGAAAGUUUCGGCGGUUGGGGAUGGACUCGCGGCUUAUCAGCUUGUUGGUGGGGUAGUGGCUUACCAAGGCUUUGACGGGUAGCCGGCCUGAGAGGGUGACCGGCCACAUUGGGCCUGAGAUACGGCCCAGACUCCUACGGGAGGCAGCAGUGGGGAAUAUUGCACAAUGGGCGGAAGCCUGAUGCAGCAACGCCGCGUGCGGGAUGACGGCCUUCGGGUUGUAAACCGCUUUCGCCUGUGACGAAGCGUGAGUGACGGUAAUGGGUAAAGAAGCACCGGCUAACUACGUG